UACAGAGGGUGCGAGCGUUGUUCGGAAUUAUUGGGCGUAAAGGGCGCGUAGGCGGUGCGGUAAGUCACCUGUGAAAUCUCCUGGCUCAACUGGGAGCUUGCAGGCGAAACUGCCGUGCUGGAGUGUGGGAGAGGUGCGUGGAAUUCCUGGUGUAGCGGUGAAAUGCGUAGAUAUCAGGAGGAACACCUGUGGCGAAGGCGGCACUCUGGGACGGUACUGACGCUGAGACGCGAAAGCGUGGGGAGCGAACAGG
RNAcentral lists this ribosomal RNA (253 nucleotides) under uncultured bacterium. RNAcentral describes it as "partial 16S ribosomal RNA". It matches the Rfam family "Bacterial small subunit ribosomal RNA", at positions 524 to 776 of the family's 1533-position model. The record is from RNAcentral.